Molecule: small nucleolar RNA, 122 nt
Filed under: Meriones unguiculatus (Mongolian gerbil)
Lineage: Eukaryota; Metazoa; Chordata; Mammalia; Rodentia; Muridae
Source: RNAcentral
AUCUUUAAUAAACAAGGGUAUCCUAGUGGCCCACUGAGCCCUCAAGAAGGGCAGAGUUAAAACACCGCUUUUGGGUGAAGUGGCAAUAGGUGUUGUUUGCUUCAAUCGGUGUUGUGACAUGA